UGGAAGGAACGAGGGUUGCUGAUGAGGA
Molecule: non-coding RNA, 28 nt
Filed under: Mus musculus (house mouse)
Lineage: Eukaryota; Metazoa; Chordata; Mammalia; Rodentia; Muridae
Source: RNAcentral